Molecule: ribosomal RNA, 253 nt
Filed under: uncultured bacterium
Lineage: Bacteria
Description: partial 16S ribosomal RNA
Rfam family: Bacterial small subunit ribosomal RNA
Source: RNAcentral
CACGUAGGGCGCAAGCGUUGUCCGGAAUUAUUGGGCGUAAAGAGCUCGUAGGCGGUCUGUCGCGUCGGCUGUGAAAACUCAGGGCUCAACCCUGAGCCUGCAGUCGAUACGGGCAGACUAGAGUCCGGCAGGGGAGACUGGAAUUCCUGGUGUAGCGGUGAAAUGCGCAGAUAUCAGGAGGAACACCGGUGGCGAAGGCGGGUCUCUGGGCCGGAACUGACGCUGAGGAGCGAAAGCGUGGGGAGCGAACAGG